Molecule: long non-coding RNA, 409 nt
Filed under: Helianthus annuus (common sunflower)
Lineage: Eukaryota; Viridiplantae; Streptophyta; Magnoliopsida; Asterales; Asteraceae
Source: RNAcentral
GCCACUUCUUGAUGCCUUCGGUGCCGGAUCCAAUUCUUAUUCCAAUGUACUGUAAUUACCUGAAACGCGUUUUAAAAAGGUUUUGUCAGCGGAAAAUACUGAGUGAAUCAUUCAUUUUACUGAAAACGACACAUUUGUUAUAAUUCACAGUAUUAAGAUCUUUUACAUAUGUUUCUGAUAUCAACCAACUACCCACAAUAUUUGUCACUCGACCGGAUCUGUGACAGUGGUCAUAUCACCAUUGGCUGCCCCAAUGAAUGACGUAUCACUAAAUUUUAGGUUCGCUCACCUAAAGUGAUAAAACAGUAGUAAUGUGCACAAUACCCCACAUACUGGCUGUAAUUUGGUGAUUACAUCAACUUAAUCACUGUAAUUAUAAUUCUGAAAAUAAUUUGGAGUAUUGUAAAAC